GAUACUGUUAGAGAUGAAUGGACUAAUCAAAUAUGGGCAAAUAGGGGUAAUGCUCACAUCUAGAUGCAUGUAUUAGGUUAUUGCACUUUGUAUUCUGGAUAAUGUAUGCUCCUAAGCUUAUGCAUUGGACAAGUUUGUAUGUUGUUUGCUUAAUCCAUUUACUUUGAACUGAGGCAUUGGACAAGUGUGCAAUGAUGAAUUAUUUAUUAUGUUUCAUUUGAACUGAGGCAUUGGACAAGUGUGCAAUGAUGAAUUAUUUAUUCUGUUUCCUUUGAACUGAGGCAUUGGAUAAGUGUGCAAUGAUGAAUUAUUCAUUCUGUUUCAUUCUUAGCUGAGGCAUUGGAUAUUAUGCAAUGAUGACUUGAUUUGUUUACUUAGCUGAGGCAUUAGGCAUUAUGCAAUGAUGAUUUCUUAUUCUGUUUACUCUUUGCUGAGGCAAUGGGCAUUAUGCAAUGAUGAUUUCUUGAUAUGUUUACUCUUUGCUGAGGCAAUGGUCAUUAUGCAAUGAUGAUUUGUUGUUCCAUGUUUACUUCCUUCCUUCAUUUUCUCUGCCCUAUUAUGCUCCCUUCCUUGAUUUCCUUUUCCCUAUUAUGUUCC
Molecule: long non-coding RNA, 597 nt
Filed under: Setaria viridis
Lineage: Eukaryota; Viridiplantae; Streptophyta; Magnoliopsida; Poales; Poaceae
Description: long non-coding RNA (SVIR_LNC005375)
Source: RNAcentral